UACGUAGGGUGCAAGCGUUGUCCGGAAUUAUUGGGCGUAAAGAGCUCGUAGGUGGCCUGUCGCGUCGGCUGUGAAAACUCGGGGCUCAACUCCGAGCUUGCAGUCGAUACGGGCAGGCUAGAGUUCGGCAGGGGAGACUGGAAUUCCUGGUGUAGCGGUGAAAUUCGUAGAUAUCGAGAGGAACACCGGUGGCGAAGGCGGCCAACUGGACGAAUACUGACGCUGAGACUCGAAAGCGUGGGGAGCAAACAGG
RNAcentral lists this ribosomal RNA (253 nucleotides) under uncultured bacterium. Its description in RNAcentral is "partial 16S ribosomal RNA". It matches the Rfam family "Bacterial small subunit ribosomal RNA", at positions 524 to 776 of the family's 1533-position model. The record is from RNAcentral.